AUUGAACGCUAGCGGCAUGCCUUACACAUGCAAGUCGAACGGAGUGGCGGACGGGUGAGUAAUAUAUCGGAACGUGCCUAGUAGCGGGGGAUAACUACUCGAAAGAGUGGCUAAUACCGCAUACCAUCAGAUCGGCCCAUAUCGGAUUAGCUCGUUGGUGGGGUAACGGCUCACCAAGGCAACGAUCCGUAGCUGGUUUGAGAGGACGACCAGCCACACUGGGACUGAGACACGGCCCAGACUCCUACGGGAGGCAGCAGUGGGGAAUUGUGGACAAGGGGGGAACCCCUGAUCCAGCCAUCCCGCGUGUAUGAUGAAGGCCUUCGGGUUGUAAAGUACUUUUGGCAGAGAAGCGGUAUCUGCAGAAUAAGCACCGGCUAACUACGUGCCAGCAGCCGCGGUAAUAC
This 407-nucleotide ribosomal RNA is filed under the name uncultured bacterium. RNAcentral's name for it is "partial 16S ribosomal RNA". It matches the Rfam family "Bacterial small subunit ribosomal RNA", at positions 30 to 526 of the family's 1533-position model. The record is from RNAcentral.